RNAcentral lists this RNase P RNA (461 nucleotides) under Elusimicrobia bacterium RIFOXYD2_FULL_34_15. RNAcentral's name for it is "RNase P RNA component class A". It matches the Rfam family "Bacterial RNase P class A". From Rfam's summary of the family: Ribonuclease P (RNase P) is a ubiquitous endoribonuclease, found in archaea, bacteria and eukarya as well as chloroplasts and mitochondria. The record is from RNAcentral. Lineage: Bacteria; Pseudomonadati; Elusimicrobiota.
GGAGGAGGCUGAGGAAUCGUUCCGACACUUGUCCUGCCGCCUAUGGCGAGCCUCGCCCCUUUGGGACGGGAGCCUGCAAAAAUAGUCGAAGGAUUUGUCGGAGAGGAAAGUCCGGACUCCGCAGAACAGGGUGAUGGUUAACGACCACCGUCCUUAGUAGCUCGUAAUGAGCUAGUCGAAGGAUAGGGAAAGUGCCACAGAAAAUAAACGGCCCUAGUAACCCUAAAGGUUAAUGGGCAAAGGUGAAAAGGUGUGGUAAGAGCACACCGCUUUGAUGGCGACAUCAAGGGCAUGGCAAACCCCACUCGGAGCAAGGUCCAAUUUGAAAAGAGGAGCUGUUCGCUCCGUUAGAUUUUCUAUGUUGACCGCUUGAUCCCGAUAGUAAUAUCUGGACUAGAAAAAUGAUUCUUAAUCCAGUUUAACUGGACGAACAGAAUCCGGCUUACACGCCUCCUCCAUAU